UGAAAUCCUGUCACUGCGAGGCGGGCUGGGCCUGAAGACGUCAGGUGAAGUAAGACUCACGCUAGAAUCUGCAGAACUUGGUCUUGGCACUGGAGAGCAGGACAGUGGCGAGCAGAGGCUGAGAGGCGAGUCUUAGUAGCCCAGACGCCGCAGUGAAGGCCAUAGGAAAGUGUGGAUGGACACGCACUCCAUGGAAACCUGGCCUUGAAACGCACCGCGCUUCUCAGGCAGCGUCCACCUCACGCUGACUUCGCGCUUCACCUUGAGGCCUGCGUCUGUUUCUGUUGUAAGGAGGCAUUGCCAUGGAGCCACCGUCAGGGAACGCUGAGAAGAGCCGUUCAACCGAGUCACGACGUCAUUCCCGGAGCCCAGAGCCCGAGUGAGGGAAGCAUGUGGAGCCAGGUCGGGUGGACGGCAUUGGCCGCCAGCAGGAACCAAGCAGGAGAGCCCGGCAGCUGCGGAUCGGCAGUAGUGGGAGCCGUGUCCAUUGCUCUCCGACACGACACGGGCGGCAAGGAAGGAGGAGGAAGAGGGAACUCAGCGAGCGGUCUCGGGCCGGCCGAGGGCACCUGGAGCGUGGCAGGGGGAGCGGAGAGGGGCUGCGGGGCGCUCGCUCGUCUGCAGCUGGCUGGGGAAGACUGCUGAUCCCGGAAGCUUGGCCCGCACCCCACCCGAAGAAAGACUGCUAGGCCGGGAGGAAGGAGGACGAGGACGGUGAUGCUGCCCGGUCCUGCUCUCCCCGAGGUGGUUGGAAGGAGGGGUGAGGUAAGUGCCAGGCUCCGCCGCUCCAGUCAGGGACCUGAGACCGAGGUGUAAUCCCGAGCCAUGGCUGGCUUCGGAACACGGAGUGGGGACCGCAGAGCUGCUCCACAACGCCUCUGCAGCCGAGCCAGCUGUGUCCCAGAGACUCCAGCUCUGCCACGGUCCGCACGCACGCGCCUCCCCGCUCCACUGGCCAGGCAGGCAGUGCGAGUCUGCGCCUCCUCUCAGGGACGUCGCACGGCCUCUCGCCAGGGCCCAGCCCCUCCUCGGCCUUGUCGUGGACUCCCCUCCCCACCCAGGCAGCGUCCCCAUCCGUCCCCGGAGCGGGCCGAGCUUGGGCCUAGACCCAGGUGUCCCUGUGGUUUUGCCAGCGGAACUCCGCGCUCGGCCUGCCUCACAGGAGGGGCACCCAAGGGCAGCGCGUGCCUGGCUCGUCCUCCGUCCUCCGUGGCAGCGCUGCUACUCGGUGUGCUUGGGCUACCACGCUGGCGGGGUUUAGAAAGCCUCUGACUGCCCUCUCCAUGUUGUGCUCCCCGUGGCCCGAGCCCCGGCCACCCUCCCGACGGCCCCGCAUUUCUGUAGAGAACUAAGUGAUUUGAAUGCUUUGGGAUGGCUUCCAACAGGCCUGUUGCUUUGGUUGUGUUUUGGCCAAAGUGGACUGCUCUAAUUACCCACACCAUUUUGGCUGCAGCAGCUUCAAUUUUUCUGUCUCCUCCUUCCUUUAUUUUAAUGAAAUAA
RNAcentral lists this long non-coding RNA (1500 nucleotides) under Heterocephalus glaber (naked mole-rat). RNAcentral's name for it is "lncRNA (ENSHGLG00100035851.1)". Lineage: Eukaryota; Metazoa; Chordata; Mammalia; Rodentia; Bathyergidae. The record is from RNAcentral.